RNAcentral lists this ribosomal RNA (467 nucleotides) under uncultured bacterium. RNAcentral's name for it is "partial 16S ribosomal RNA". It matches the Rfam family "Bacterial small subunit ribosomal RNA", at positions 28 to 506 of the family's 1533-position model. The record is from RNAcentral.
GACGAACGCUGGCGGCGUGCUUAACACAUGCAAGUCGAACGGAAAGGCCCUGCUUUUGUGGGGUGCUCGAGUGGCGAACGGGUGAGUAACACGUGAGUAACCUGCCCUUGACUUUGGGAUAACUUCAGGAAACUGGGGCUAAUACCGGAUAGGAGCUCCUGCUGCAUGGUGGGGGUUGGAUAGUUGCGGCGGUUGGGGAUGGACUCGCGGCUAAUCAGCUUGUUGGUGGGGUAGUGGCUUACCAAGGCUUUGACGGGUAGCCGGCCUGAGAGGGUGAGCGGCCACAUUGGGACUGAGAUCCGGCCCAGACUCCAACGGGAGGCAGGAGUGGGGAAUAUGGCACAAUGGGCGGAGGCCUGAGGCAGAAGCGCCGCGUGCGGGAGGUCGGCCUUCGGGUUGUAAGCCGCUUUCGCCUGUGACGAAGCGUGAGGAAGGGAAAUGGGUAAAGAAGCACCGGCUAACUACGU